Heterocephalus glaber (naked mole-rat) is the source of this 1233-nucleotide long non-coding RNA. RefSeq lists it as uncharacterized. The record is from RefSeq and is a predicted model, not a curated record. Lineage: Eukaryota; Metazoa; Chordata; Mammalia; Rodentia; Bathyergidae.
UCCACGGUGCUCAGAACAUGAGUGUGCUGGACUGGUAUGUCUGCAUUCUGACCUUUGAUUAUCAGUUCCUUCAGGCCAAGUUUAAUUGCUGAAUCCAAAUAAUCUCCAGUCAUGGUGCCUGAUUGACACCUAAAACUAACCAUCCCACCAAUAUCAGCUAUGCCUGCUUGUGCCUGAGCUGAUGUGCCCAGCAGUCUCUUCUUCAGAAGAUUUCUCUCAAAGUCACUUGGAGUAUUGCUGCAGCAACCCCACACAGAGCAAGGGGUCACUUUGAAUUUCCAUCUUGCCUUGACCCACAAGGGUGUCUUAGUCACCAGGAGGUCAAAGCUCAUGAACUGGAGGGCUCGAAAGUGAACACUGAAAAAUUCCUUUAGGAUAAAGGACUCUGUGCAGGAAGUCACACUGGUUUCUACGGCAGAUUGCAGGAUGUCAUGGAAAAUCUCUAAUCUCAUUAAAUCCCUUCAACCCCAGUAUCAUUAUGUAACAACUGCAUCUUUCCAACUUAAAACUGCCUUCUGGGCACUUGUAUUAGUCCUUCACAUAUCCAGUUAAGGAGACCCCCAAGUCAUAGUGGAGUAUGUGGCCACUGGCCACCCACUGAAGAAUAUGAACCCGCUGCCUUACAGGUAGCUGUGGUCAAGUGCAAUAAGUGGCUGAUGGAUUCAAGCCAUGAGGGAGAUUGCUCGCCGUGUCCUUACUCCUUCAUAUGGCUCCCAGAAAAAUGUGGAGGACAACUUUCCAGAAGAUGUUGGGUCAACAAAGAAGGAAACUGGUCCUUGGACGUCUUCAGGAAGCACAGGUAACCACCCCACACCCCAAACCUGCACCCGGGACUGGUAAUGGCAUCUAAUAGCAAAAGUCAUCCAGAGCUGCUCCUCCUUUGGGCUUUCUCCUAUGCUGAUCAUAUCUACAUCCACUUGGUGGCUCAAGUCAAAACUUGGAGAAACUAACUGUCUUUGGUUAGUCACAUCAGUUCCAAUUGCACAUUGGACCCAUAUCACGGUCACCUCAAGCCUCAGUGGCUUUGUUGGUCUCCAAACGGAUCUCUGCAGUUUUGAUGACUUUCCUACCCCAAACCCAUUUCCUGUACAGCAGUCAGAGUAAUCUUCCUUAAAAGUCCAAAUCCAGUCACCAUUUUCCCAUUAAAUGAAUCAAAUGCCUUAUUCUAUGAAUUUUUACAAUUUUAGAAAUAUAUAAAGAGAGGAUUAAUUAUAGAUAAUUGGGUGAUAAAUC